Molecule: ribosomal RNA, 722 nt
Filed under: uncultured Fusobacterium sp.
Lineage: Bacteria; Fusobacteriati; Fusobacteriota; Fusobacteriia; Fusobacteriales; Fusobacteriaceae
Description: bacterial SSU rRNA
Rfam family: Bacterial small subunit ribosomal RNA
Source: RNAcentral
GAUGAACGCUGACAGAAUGCUUAACACAUGCAAGUCAACUUGAACUUCGGUUUGGGUGGCGGACGGGUGAGUAACGCGUAAAGAACUUGCCUCACAGAUAGGGACAACAUUUGGAAACGAAUGCUAAUACCUGAUAUUAUGAUUUUAGGGCAUCCUAGGAUUAUGAAAGCUAUAUGCGCUGUGAGAGAGCUUUGCGUCCCAUUAGCUAGUUGGAGAGGUAACGGCUCACCAAGGCGAUGAUGGGUAGCCGGCCUGAGAGGGUGAUCGGCCACAAGGGGACUGAGACACGGCCCUUACUCCUACGGGAGGCAGCAGUGGGGAAUAUUGGACAAUGGACCAAGAGUCUGAUCCAGCAAUUCUGUGUGCACGAUGAAGUUUUUCGGAAUGUAAAGUGCUUUCAGUUGGGAAGAAAAAAAUGACGGUACCAACAGAAGAAGUGACGGCUAAAUACGUGCCAGCAGCCGCGGUAAUACGUAUGUCACAAGCGUUAUCCGGAUUUAUUGGGCGUAAAGCGCGUCUAGGUGGUUAUGUAAGUCUGAUGUGAAAAUGCAGGGCUCAACUCCGUAUUGCGUUGGAAACUGUGUAACUAGGGUACUGGAGAGGUAAGCGGAACUACAAGUGUAGAGGUGAAAUUCGUAGAUAUUUGUAGGAAUGCCGAUGGGGAAGCCAGCUUACUGGACAGAUACUGACGCUGAAGCGCGAAAGCGUGGGUAGCAAACAGG